Molecule: long non-coding RNA, 589 nt
Filed under: Bos taurus (domestic cattle)
Lineage: Eukaryota; Metazoa; Chordata; Mammalia; Artiodactyla; Bovidae
Description: long non-coding RNA NONBTAT010778
Source: RNAcentral
GUAGGGUCACAGCUGGAAAACUUAUCCAAUACAAUUUUGAUUAAAAGCUGCCACUUUUAUACUAAUCUUCAGCAUGAUCAGUUGUUCUUUUCUGUUAUCAAUGUGUAAUUCCAUGCCUAACUUGUGUUUAAAUUUCAGUAUUUUUUAGAAUAAGGUUAAAUGAGCUUGUCAUUUUAAGAAUAAUAAUUAAUGAUCAGUAAACUACUAAAAACACAAAAAUAAUGUAAAAGUAUUAUGUCACAUUUGCUAUGCAGCAGAAUACAGCUUAGUUUUGCCCCAUCAUACCUCAUAUCAUGUAUAAUAUUAAAUUAAUUUAGAUCACUAAACUAGAUGGUCAGGUGAUUGAGUUAUGGUUGGAAACAAGAUCAGAAAUAUCACCGUUUUUCAGGAAAAGACAGGAUAAUAAAUUUCUCCAAUUAUUAUGAUAAAAGCCUAAAAGAGAAAACAUUCACUCUGCAAAACCUGUUUUAGAGCAAAAUUACAAAUAGGAACUAGAUUUCCAAAAUUCUAGGUGGCAUAAUUAUUUCUAUGGACUCAAGGACCAAAGCCCAAAUACCAUUUCAGAUUUAUAAAGUCUCCCAAAAUGUUU